ACAAAGGCUCUUUUCAGAGCCACUGAGGUUCUCAUGGAAAUAGCUG
Callithrix jacchus (white-tufted-ear marmoset) is the source of this 46-nucleotide non-coding RNA. NCBI's taxonomy places the organism in Eukaryota, Metazoa, Chordata, Mammalia, Primates, Cebidae. The record is from Rfam.